GACGAACGCUGGCGGCGUGCUUAACACAUGCAAGUCGAGCGACGCUCUUCCUUCGGGGUGAUGACGGAGCGGCGAACGGGUGAGUAACACGCGGGCAACCUGCCCCUAGCACUGUGACAACACUGGGAAACCGGUGCUAAUACCGGAUACGACAUCUAGCGGCAUCUCUUGAUGUGGAAAGUUUUUUCGGGUAGGGAUGGGCCCGCGCCCUAUCAGCUUGUUGGGGGGGUAAUGGCCCAGCAAGGCGACGUCGGGUAGCCGGCCUGGGAGGGCGACCGGCCAGGCAGGGAGUGAGACACGGCCCAGACACCUGCGGGAGGCGGCAGUGGGGAAGAUUGCGCAAUGGGCGAAAGCCGGACGCAGCGACGGCGCGUGAGGGAUGACGGCCUUCGGGUUGUAAACCUCUUUCAGCAGGGACGAAUUCAGACGGUACCUGCAGAAGAAGCACCGGCCAACUACGUG
Molecule: ribosomal RNA, 462 nt
Filed under: uncultured bacterium
Lineage: Bacteria
Description: partial 16S ribosomal RNA
Rfam family: Bacterial small subunit ribosomal RNA
Source: RNAcentral